This 505-nucleotide ribosomal RNA is filed under the name uncultured bacterium. RNAcentral's name for it is "partial 16S ribosomal RNA". It matches the Rfam family "Bacterial small subunit ribosomal RNA", at positions 28 to 507 of the family's 1533-position model. The record is from RNAcentral.
GACGAACGCUGGCGGCGUGCCUAAUACAUGCAAGUAGAACGCACAGUUUAUACCGUAGCUUGCUACACCAUAGACUGUGAGUUGCGAACGGGUGAGUAACGCGUAGGUAACCUGCCUGGUAGCGGGGGAUAACUAUUGGAAACGAUAGCUAAUACCGCAUAAUAUUAAUUAUUGCAUGAUAAUUAAUUGAAAGGUGCAAUUGCACCACUACCAGAUGGACCUGCGUUGUAUUAGCUAGUAGGUGAGGUAACGGCUCACCUAGGCGACGAUACAUAGCCGACCUGAGAGGGUGAUCGGCCACACUGGGACGGAGACACGGCCCAGACUCCUACGGGAGGCAGCAGUAGGGAAUCUUCGGCAAUGGACGAAAGUCUGACCGAGCAACGCCGCGUGAGUGAAGAAGGUUUUCGGAUCGUAAAGCUCUGUUGUAAGAGAAGAACGGGUGUGAGAGUGGAAAGUUCACACUGUGACGGUAUCUUACCAGAAAGAGACGGCUAACUACGUG